CUGAGCCAGGCCCUGGACUUAGUCUCUUAUUGGCAAUGUUUCAUAUUAACUAACAAACCAGUCAUAUUAUUGUCCCCAUUUUACAGAUGAGGAAAUCGAGGCUCAGAGAGAUGAAGAAAAUAACCUAAGGACACAUGGCCAGUGCGCAGCAAAGCCUGGACUUCAGCCCAGGUCUUUCUGUACCCUGCGAGCCCACACUGUAUAGAACCACUGGCUCUACUGCUGGUGGAGAAAGGAAGCAGCGCCAUACGGCAGAAAACCCAAGUUCCACUUCUGGAAACCCAAUCCAGCAAGAAAUUCAAGUGCCUCCUGCGUCCACCUGGAUAGAUGAUCAGACAUCUCUAAGCCUCAGCUGCCUUAUCUGUAAAAUGGAGACUGAUGGUCCAGUGGCUGGAGAGGAUGGGCAGAAACUGGCGGACAGAGAGGAGCCCCAGCUCAGUCAGCAUAUGAAGUCUCUGGGCUGGGGAGUCUACACGUACUGGCAGUCCCAUGCUAGGAGUUGUCUCGCUGAUCAUCGCAAUUAUAUCCUGACACCAAGCAUAGAAAGUAUUAUUAGCUCCAUUUACUGACACAGAACUGAGGCUGGAAGGGAGGUCAUUUGCUCAAAAGCUCCCUCCCUUCUCUCUCUCUCUCUCUCUCUCUCUCUCACAGAGCCAGAGACUUCUGGCAGAGUCUUCCCUAUGUAAUCUGUCUACUACUCCUCCACCCAGCCUCCUAACUUUGCAUCAGAAGGGUUUUCUAGAGCUCUCCAUGGGGCCCCCAUCUCUGACUCUGUCACUUCUCGCUUCUCGGGGGCAAGCAUCGCGACUGCCUCUGGUGGCCACACGUGCUCUGCGCCAGGGUCCUAUCCACCGAGUCCCCGUCAACUCGGUGCCCUUGCCGGAGCUGCCCUGGCCCUGGCUGUCACCUGCACCCCUCCGACACCAAGCUGCGGGCUGUGCUCGGUAGGAACCCAGCCCAGUGCCGGCAGGAGCAACCUCCAAGGGAGGCCUCCAGGGAGAAACGUCCAAAGGCAGCGUUCUGGUCCAAGUGAAAAGUCUGGUUCCCGGACCAGCAGUCUCAACAUCACCUGGGAGCUUGUUAGAAAUGCAGUUUCUCUGAGACUUCCCUGGUGGUCCAGUGGGUAAGAAUUCGCCUUGCAAUGGAGGGGACACAGGUUCAAUCUCUGGUCAGGGAACUUAGAUCCCACAGGCCUCGGAGCUACUGAGCCCCACGACUGCACCUAACACCUGAGUCAGCCAGAUUCUCAGCCCCUCCAUGCUACCUUCCUCCACCUCCUCCAAGAUCUUAUGAAUGAGAACUUCUGAGAGUAAAGCCCUGAUUGUUGUUAGUCUCUCAGUCAUGACUGACUCUGCAACCCCAUGGACUGCAGCACGCCAGGCUUCCCUGUCCUUCACUAGCUCCUGGAGUUAGCUCAAACUCAUGUCCAUUGAGUCGGUGAUGCCAUCCAACCAUCUCAUCCUCUGUCGCCCCCUUCUCUCUUGCCCUCAGUCUUUCCCAGCAUCAGGAUCUUUUUCAAUGAGUCAGCUCUUCGCAUCAGGUGGCCCAAGUUUUGGAGCUUCAGCUUCAGCUGAAAGGAUGAAAGGAGUGAAGAAGUGAAGACGCUCAUUUGUGUCCGACUCUUUGUAACCCCGUGAACUGUAGCCCCGCCAGGCUCCUCUGUCCAUGGGAUUCUCCAGGCAAGGAUACUGGAGUGGGUUGCCAUUUCCUUCUCCAGGGGAUAUUCCCAACCCAGAGAUUGAACCCAGGUCUGCCACAUUGCAGGCAGACUCCUUACCGGCUGAGCCACGAGGGAAGUCAUAAAGGAUGGGGGCAGCCACAUAUGUCCCAGGGUGAUAUGGCCACCUCUGCUCAGCACAGAACUGGAACUCUGUGCUCAGGUGUGGACUGAGCCUCAGGUGAGGAGACGUGCCUAGACCACCCAGUCCUGACUCUGGGCUCCGAGUUUCCCCCCAUCACCCCCCUCACCCUCCCUGUCCACUGAGGGAUUUCACUUGGAUCCCUCCCCUUCCGUUAAGCAGGCCUGCAGGUUCCUUUGUCACUCCAGGUUAGGAAAGACCAAACCCCUUCCCUGCCCUCUUCCAGCACACUUAGGAAUCCUGAUGAGGCUUUCCCAACCACUAAGAGAGGAUGCCACAAAAGAAUGAGAAAAGAGGAAGAGGAGCUCUGGAGACUGCUCAGCUACCUAUUAGCUGUGUGACCUUGAGCGAUUUAAUUAACCUCUCUGAGUUUCAGUUUCCUCCACCCGGCAGAUGGGAAUGAUAAUCAUAAUGAUAUGCCUAACUCUGGAGUUGCUUUGGGUUUUAAACAAGUUAAUAUUUGUAAUGUACUUAGAAUAGUGGCCAGCACACUGUAAACGCUACAGCAGUGUUUGUUCAAUAAAUAAGAAAUGAAGGCAUGAAUCCA
Bos indicus x Bos taurus (hybrid cattle) is the source of this 2406-nucleotide long non-coding RNA. The record is from Ensembl. NCBI's taxonomy places the organism in Eukaryota, Metazoa, Chordata, Mammalia, Artiodactyla, Bovidae.